CCGUAGAGUCUCCUAACUUCAACUUAUAUACCUAACAUCGGCUAAAAUUUAAAAAAUUCAAUAUUUUUUUUCCUUUUAAGGAAACACUAAUUGUAGUGAUUUGGGAAGUAUACAUAUUUAAUCAUGGCAACAUUGCAAUGUCAUUUGUCAAAAUAUUGGCGGCCAUUUUGUCACAAUCGUGAGUAACUUCGGAUCACGCACACGCUUCUUUUUUACCGACCCCGAAAAUUUGUGUCAUUACUCAAUACUGCUUGGAGGUAAGUUUUUUAAAUCUUUACUACAGUUUACUCAUAUAAUCCAUUACCAAAAUUAAAAAAAUCAUUCAGAUAUGUUCGUUAACUACAGAAAUAUUAGGGCAGACAAUGUUAGGAUACAAUCUGUAAUGUGAUGUUGUUCAAACUUCGUCUGCCCUUAGGGUCGUCAAAAUUAGAAUAAGAACUUAUGUUUUUUUUUUUGUACUAUACUUAUAUGAAAAAGUACCUGGUCUGUAUUUUUUCUUACUCUAUACCCUCUAUACCUAUUUAAAACUGUUAUGUAUCUGAAUAAUUACCAAAACGUAGAUAUAUUUUGUAUAAAUAACUAUGUAUUUCCUACAUAACAAAAUGUAAAGUAAGUUGAUAAAAGAGUUGAUUUCUGGCGCAUUUAAGGUGUUUUAAAUUGAAUGAUUGACGUUUUCUAAAACGUCAUUGCAAACUGCUUAUUUUACGCCACAGAAAUCGUGCACUGUUAACGAUGAUGAUGAAGAUAUGCCAAAGAUGAAGCCAAAAAAAGUUAUAACACCGGUAAAGAAUCGUCUGUUCGUUGAAGGAAGUUCUGAUGAAGAAGAAGAUAACUACACAGUUCAUGACAGUAGCAGUUCAUGUGGAUCAAACUUUAAUGAAGAUGACAAAGAGAACAGCGAUGGUGAACAGAAAACAGAAUACAUCGAAAUAGAUAAUAAUAUUAUAGAUGAAAACAUAAGAAUAAGUUUUUUUUAUUAGGUACUACGAUUAAAGUGUUUAAUUCAUUCAUCA
Long non-coding RNA from Maniola jurtina (meadow brown), 1013 nucleotides. RefSeq lists it as uncharacterized. Lineage: Eukaryota; Metazoa; Arthropoda; Insecta; Lepidoptera; Nymphalidae. The transcript is spliced from 2 exons. The record is from RefSeq and is a predicted model, not a curated record.